AUAAUACUCCCUCCCUUCGGAAAUACUUGUCGGAGGAAUGAAUGUAUCUAGACGUAUUUUAGUUAUACAUACAUCCAUUUUUAUGGAUUUGUCCGGCAAGUAUUUCCGGACAGGGGGAGUAUCUU
Molecule: non-coding RNA, 125 nt
Organism: Triticum aestivum (bread wheat)
Lineage: Eukaryota; Viridiplantae; Streptophyta; Magnoliopsida; Poales; Poaceae
Source: Rfam